UACGGAAGGCAGCAGGGGGGAAUAUUGCACAAUGGGCGCAAGCCUGAUGCAGCCAUGCCGCGUGUAUGAAGAAGGCCUUCGGGUUGUAAAGUACUUUCAGUCGUGAGGAAGGUGUUAAGGUUAAUAACCUUAGCAAUUGACGUUAGCGACAGAAGAAGCACCGGCUAACUCCGUGCCAGCAGCCGCGGUAAUACGGAGGGUGCGAGCGUUAAUCGGAAUUACUGGGCGUAAAGGGCACGCAGGCGGUUAAUUAAGUUGGAUGUGAAAUCCCCGGGCUUAACCUGGGAAUGGCAUUCAAGACUGGUUAGCUAGAGUCUUGUAGAGGGGGUAGAAUUCCAUGUGUAGCGGUGAAAUGCGUAGAGAUGUGGAGGAAUACCGGUGGCGAAGGCGGCCCCUGGACAAAGACUGACGCUCAUGUGCGAAAGCGUGGGGAGCAAACGAGGAUUAGAUACC
Molecule: ribosomal RNA, 453 nt
Filed under: uncultured bacterium
Lineage: Bacteria
Description: bacterial SSU rRNA
Rfam family: Bacterial small subunit ribosomal RNA
Source: RNAcentral